RNAcentral lists this long non-coding RNA (2949 nucleotides) under Musa acuminata (dwarf banana). RNAcentral describes it as "long non-coding RNA (MACU_LNC000266)". The record is from RNAcentral. Lineage: Eukaryota; Viridiplantae; Streptophyta; Magnoliopsida; Zingiberales; Musaceae.
UGACGAUAAGGGCAUGUAAAGGUUGUAAACAAUCAUUCAGAGUGAUGGUCAAAUAAAAGAAAAUCGAUCAUUUUAAAGAAAAGGAUUAUAUUUCAAAACAUUUUAAUCUAGCGGUGCUUGCCGAAUUCGUCCAUGUAUAUAUAUACAUACCGGAGAGGCGAAUGAUGAUGGCGAACGGUGGUGAGCGCGACGACAGUGGCCCACUGCUCGAAUUCACCUCUCCUCUUUCUGCUGCCGCCAUGUAUCCAGGAUCAGCGAAGAAGCACCAAAGGGAUUGCUCUUCUCUCCCUUGUUUCCUUUCUCUCCUUGAACCCUAUUUACGGGGAGAGGAGGAAUACCGAGAUCGGCAAGUAGCUGAACCCUUUCUCCGGUUUCUUUCGCCUUUUUGUUUCCCUUCCUGAUGGUUAUUAGGCCGGAUCGUUCUAUGAUGGUGUGAAGUGAUUCCGGAUCUCUCUCGCUACGUUCCGUUGACGUGAUCCUUCUUGUAGGACUCUAAGAGGCAAGAGUCGGUGGAGAAGCGUGAGAUUGUGAAGCAGUCGGGAAAGAAUCCGCUUAAUCCUAAACCAAACAAUGGGCGUUUACCAUCUUCCGCAGGUAAUUUUUCCUACCCCUCUCUUCUAUGUUAUUUGCCCUAAAUCUCUAGGAUUAUGCUGCUCAAUCCUGUUUGUUCUGGUUUGUGGAUGAGAACGAAUCGAACUGGAUGAUGUGGGAGGAGAAUUUUCCAAAUCAUAACACAACUUCUUGUGCUGAACCUUAAAAUUUCAGCCAAUGUAGGUUUCCGAUUGUCGAUUUAAUUGGAUUCAUGGGAGUGUUGACUUAAAUCUCUCAAUGCUUUCCCCCACAAGAAUGACACGAAUUCGUGUUCUUACCUUGUGUGUAUUUGAUUUAGACCCAAUGUGGUCUUGCUGUGUACUUACUUUGAUAACUUUACUUGUAUCUUUAAUUUCCCAUAAAGAAUUGAGUUUCAUAGAUGGAAUUCUUAAAAAUUGCCACUUGGUUGUGUUAGUUGUAAUCACUCAAAUCAUUUCAUGUGAAUUGGUGCAGCAUAAGUCUUGGUAAUUGAUCUAUUUAUAUCCAUUAGAAAAGCAUUUUUUCUGUUGACCUGGAAACUCCCAUGUACUUUCGGACAUUCUCAAAGACUUUCUGGUAUCAAUGGAAUGAUCUUUGAAUGUUAAUGGGGCAAGUAUUAGGUGCAUAAAACUCUUUCAAAUGCUUCUUUGUUUACUUGCUUUGGGGGUUGUAUUAAGGAUCCACUUUAGUUCUUGCUUUUAUACAUUGAUAGUUAACCAACUUAUUGGGCAUAGACAAGAAUCUCAUGGUAUGUGUUGUUUGUAAAAAAUUAUCUUGGUUGACAAGAGUUUAGUUAAAUUUAUUUUAAACUUGAGUCGUAGAGGCAAAACCUUAAACAUUAAGGGCCAAUUAAGGGUCCUAACAAAAAGUAUAGUAGACGGAGUGACAAAAAAGCUUUUGAAAUAAAAGUUUUAGGUACUAUUAUUCAACAAGGGAAAGAGAUUGAUGAAAAAUAUUAUUUAGAGAGUAAAGUAUGAAGGGACUCAACAUUUUGUAUGAUCAUCUGACUUUUAUAUAAUUAAAAGAUAAAUAAAAAAUAUUUGUUAGGCUUAUAACAUCCUUGUUAAAUAAAAUUCAGACUUAACAAGUUAAAUAGAUCAAUUAUCCUAUCAAGUCAGAUCGUGACAAAUGGCAUCGGAGGCAGCAUAAUAUUGGACAUGGUUAAAGUAGGAUAGAGCUGUAUGUCACCGCUAGGUUAAAUCUCACAAGUACUCUGCUAAAAUUUAAUUUGAGUUUUGCGAUUUACAUCACAUUUUGGUCGGUUAUCAAAUCUUAAUAGAUAAAAUAAAGAAGAAUCAUCUAAGAUUAUAUAAAUAUGUUUGUGUAGCUCAACCCAAAUAGUUGGCAUCGUGCAACUUAUUGUUAAUGUUAUUGGCCAUAUACUACUAGAAGGCACACAGUUGUCACAAACAUGUUAUAUUAUGAUGAUUUGAACCGACACUUCACAUUUGUUCUGUAAAUGCACAACUUCACAUGCAAGAUUAGUUUAGUAAUGCGCAAACAUGUACAUCAACCUUCCUUGGUCCCGACUAUGCCUUGGGCUGUUAUUUUUCUUAUAGCUUUCAUGUCGAGUUGGUUGUCCAAGAACAGAGCCACAAAACAGGAGUACAUUAAGUUAUGUACUUAGCAAUUAUUCUACCCAUGAAUCUGCAUAGUUGCUUUUAUCCUUGAGUAACACAUCUAUAGCUACGUUAAAGUUUUGAUGUAUCUAUUGGUGUUUCAUAAUUGCGUCAUAUGUAAACUAUGAUGUCAAAUGUUGUGAUCACAGUGCUAGUUGUACUAUAUAUGGAUUUGAAUUUAUGGUGGUUUUAAAGCAAUAUGCACAAAAGGUUGCAUUGUUGUGAUGAGAGUGUUGGGUGGAUAUAUGAAGCACGAGGAAAAACAUAGCAAACAAUAUUAUUUAUGAAUAGUUAGGCAUAAUUUUGAUAAAUCAUAAAAUGUAAAAGAAUUGUAAAGAUAUGUGAAUAUUCUCAAGAGACAUACAUGCGAUUAGACAAGAUGAGACUUUUUGAUUUUUAGAAUGUUAACUAGUUUAGCUGGUAAAAAUUUUAGAUAUUAAUAGCAAUGUCGUAGAUAAUCCUUCUCAACAUUUUUAACAUUCAUAAAUACGAGGUUUUGUAUUCUUACUCUUGAGUUAUAACCUUAGCUUAACUUUAUAGUUUCUAGGCCCAAGUGCCCUCUAGCCUAUCCACUCGAUCUUUCUCUUUUAGUCUGUGAUUGGGAAGUUACAGCAUUGGCAGGUAAGCAACGAUUACCAGAUGUUAAACCGCAUUCACCAGGCAGUUUCUAAGCUGUUAAGAUGUGAUCAACGUACCGAAACACUUGUAUCAAACUUUGCCAUCCCAUUUUCCAUUGGCAUGUUCAAGCUGGAUGUUUUUU